CACAUGCAAGUCGAGCGCCCCGCAAGGGGAGCGGCAGACGGGUGAGUAACGCGUGGGAAUCUACCCAUCUCUACGGAACAACUCCGGGAAACUGGAGCUAAUACCGUAUACGUCCUUCGGGAGAAAGAUUUAUCGGGNAUGGAUGAGCCCGCGUUGGAUUAGCUAGUUGGUGGGGUAAUGGCCUACCAAGGCGACGAUCCAUAGCUGGUCUGAGAGGAUGAUCAGCCACACUGGGACUGAGACACGGCCCANACUCCUACGG
RNAcentral lists this ribosomal RNA (262 nucleotides) under Rhizobium sp. CIAM2209. RNAcentral's name for it is "partial 16S ribosomal RNA". It matches the Rfam family "Bacterial small subunit ribosomal RNA", at positions 52 to 344 of the family's 1533-position model. Lineage: Bacteria; Pseudomonadati; Pseudomonadota; Alphaproteobacteria; Hyphomicrobiales; Rhizobiaceae. The record is from RNAcentral.